Molecule: ribosomal RNA, 468 nt
Filed under: uncultured bacterium
Lineage: Bacteria
Description: partial 16S ribosomal RNA
Rfam family: Bacterial small subunit ribosomal RNA
Source: RNAcentral
GACGAACGCUGGCGGCGUGCUUAACACAUGCAAGUCGAACGGAAAGGCCCUGCUUUUGUGGGGUGCUCGAGUGGCGAACGGGUGAGUAACACGUGAGUAACCUGCCCUUGACUUUGGGAUAACUUCAGGAAACUGGGGCUACUACCGGAUAGGAGCUCCUGCUGCAUGGUGGGGGUUGGAAAUUUUCGGCGGUUGGGGAUGGACUCGCGGCUUAUCAGCUUGUUGGUGGGGUAGUGGCUUACCAAGGCUUUGACGGGUAGCCGGCCUGGGAGGGGUACCGGCCACAUUGGGACUGAGAUACGGCCCAGACUCCUACGGGAGGCAGCAGUGGGGAAUAUUGCACAAUGGGCGGAAGCCUGAUGCAGCAACGCCGCGUGCGGGAUGACGGCCUUCGGGUUGUAAACCGCUUUCGCCUGUGACGAAGCGUGAGUGACGGUAAUGGGUAAAGAAGCACCGGCUAACUACGUG